Molecule: small RNA, 89 nt
Filed under: Flavobacterium frigoris
Lineage: Bacteria; Pseudomonadati; Bacteroidota; Flavobacteriia; Flavobacteriales; Flavobacteriaceae
Description: Flavo-1 RNA
Rfam family: Flavo-1 RNA
Source: RNAcentral
UAUUUGCGUUAGGGUUAGCAGUGGAAAUCCUCUUUUGUCUCGUUCUUAAAACGAGACAAAAGAGAUUGAAGCGAAUAGCCCGCCCUUGU